CCUACGGGUGGCAGCAGUGGGGAAUAUUGCCCAAUGGGGGAAACCCUGAUGCAGCAACGCCGCGUGAGCGAUGAAGUAUUUCGGUAUGUAAAGCUCUAUCAGCAGGGAAGAAAAUGACGGUACCUGAGUAAGAAUCCCCGGCUAACUACGUGCCAGCAGCCGCGGUAAUACGUAGGGGGCAAGCGUUAUCCGGAUUUACUGGGUGUAAGGGGAGCGUAGACGGAGGGACAAGUCUGAAGUGAAAGGCCGGGGCUCAACCCCAGGACUGCUUUUGAAACUGGCUGUCUGGAGUGCAGGAGAGGCAGGCGGAAUUCCUAGUGUAGCGGUGAAAUGCGUAGAUAUUAGGAAGAACACCAGUGGCGAAGGCGGCUUGCUGGACAGUAACUGACGUUGAGGCUCGAAAGCGUGGGGAGCAAACAGGAUUAGAUACCCCAGUAGUC
RNAcentral lists this ribosomal RNA (440 nucleotides) under uncultured bacterium. RNAcentral's name for it is "partial 16S ribosomal RNA". It matches the Rfam family "Bacterial small subunit ribosomal RNA", at positions 338 to 795 of the family's 1533-position model. The record is from RNAcentral.